This 265-nucleotide long non-coding RNA is filed under the name Lathyrus oleraceus (garden pea). Its description in RNAcentral is "Pisum sativum (pea) long non-coding RNA (PSAT_LNC033969)". The record is from RNAcentral. Lineage: Eukaryota; Viridiplantae; Streptophyta; Magnoliopsida; Fabales; Fabaceae.
AAAAAAAGGAUAAAAUAACGUGGGGGAGCGUUGGGGGUUGAACCCUUGACCUUGGGAUCAUGGGGUCAACCCCCAUCCACUUGGCCAUGCGCCUUGUGGGGACUACUAAACGCGCUCAGCAAAUAAUAUAUUAAGGUUAAACAAUAAACGAAACACCCGCGCCAAUCCACCAACCAGAACAGGAUGCAAUAUAUUUUCAUAUUUGAAACGCAGGGUAACGACCACUGAGUCGUCUUCAACCUCAGACCAUCAAAUUUCAACUUCC